CUUACAUGCCCAGGGGACGUGGAUAACCUCGGGAAACUGUUUUUAAACCGCGAUAGGUCAAGAUUUCUGGAAUGGAUCGUGUCUUAAAUCUACAUGGCCCCUGGAUUGUACCGCGGCCGAUCAGGCUGUUGUUGAGGUAAUGGCCCACCAAACCUAUAACCGGUACGGGCUCUGAGAGGAGAAGCCCGGAGAUGGGCACUGAGACAAGGGCCCAGGCCCUAUGGGGCGCAGCAGGCGCGAAACCUCUGCAAUGGGCGAAAGCCUGACAGGGUUACUCUGAGUGAUUUCCGCUAAGGAGAUCUUUUGGCAGCUCUAAAAAUGGUGCAGAAUAAGGGGUGGGCAAGUCUGGUGUCAGCCGCCGCGGUAAUACCAGCACCCCGAGUGGUCGGGACGAUUAUUGGGCCUAAAGCAUCCGUAGCCGGUCGUGCAAGUCCUCCGUUAAAUCCAGCCGCUCAACGGAUGGGCUGCGGAGGAUACUACAGGACUAGGAGGCGGGAGAGGCAAGCGGUACUUAGUGGGUAGGGGUAAAAUCCUUUGAUCCAUUGAAGA
This 549-nucleotide ribosomal RNA is filed under the name uncultured archaeon. Its description in RNAcentral is "bacterial SSU rRNA". It matches the Rfam family "Archaeal small subunit ribosomal RNA", at positions 104 to 656 of the family's 1478-position model. The record is from RNAcentral.